GAUGAACGCUGGCGGCGUGCUUAACACAUGCAAGUCGAACGAUGAAGCCCAGCUUGCUGGGUGGAUUAGUGGCGAACGGGUGAGUAACGCGUGAGUAACCUGCCCUUGACUCUGGGAUAAGCCUGGGAAACUGGGUCUAAUACUGGAUAUGACUUCUCAUCGCAUGGUGGGGGGUGGAAAGAUUUAUUGGUCUUGGAUGGACUCGCGGCCUAUCAGCUUGUUGGUGAGGUAAUGGCUCACCAAGGCGACGACGGGUAGCCGGCCUGAGAGGGUGACCGGCCACACUGGGACUGAGACACGGCCCAGACUCCUACGGGAGGCAGCAGUGGGGAAUAUUGCACAAUGGGCGCAAGCCUGAUGCAGCGACGCCGCGUGAGGGAUGACGGCCUUCGGGUUGUAAACCUCUUUCAGUAGGGAAGAAGCGAGAGUGACGGUACCUGCAGAAGAAGCGCCGGCUAACUACGUG
RNAcentral lists this ribosomal RNA (466 nucleotides) under uncultured bacterium. Its description in RNAcentral is "partial 16S ribosomal RNA". It matches the Rfam family "Bacterial small subunit ribosomal RNA", at positions 28 to 507 of the family's 1533-position model. The record is from RNAcentral.